This 743-nucleotide non-coding RNA is filed under the name Apophylia sp. REN-2018. Lineage: Eukaryota; Metazoa; Arthropoda; Insecta; Coleoptera; Chrysomelidae. The record is from RNAcentral.
AAAAAGUUUUAUUUUAACUUAAAAAUUAAAUAUUAUUUUUAAUUAUAUGUAAAUUAUUUUUUAGAAGAAAUGGCAGUAAUUAUAUUUAUAUAUUAAAGAAAUUUAGAUUUAGAAAUAAUAAUAAAUAUUAACAAAAUUUGUGCCAGCAGUUGCGGUUAUACAAAUAAUGUAAUUUAAUUAUAUUGAUAAAAAUUAAUUUAUUUAAAAAUUUAAAAUUAAAAUUUAUUAAGUAAAAUUUUAAAUUUUAAUUAUAUUUAUUUUAUUAAAUGAAGUUUAGAAUAUUAAAAAUUAAACUAGGAUUAGAUACCCUAUUAUUUUAAUUGUAAUAAAAAUUAUUAAAUUAGUAUUAGAAUUGUUCUUGAAAAUUAAAAAUUUUGGCGGUAUUUUAGUCUUUUCAGAGGAACCUGUUCUAUAAAUGAUAAUCCACGAUUUAAUUUACUUUUAUUAUUAUUUUGUAUAUCAUCGUAAUUAGAUAUUUUAUUAGAAUUAUAAUAUUUAAAAUUUUAUAUUUAAAAAUUAAUCAGAUCAAGAUGCAGUUUAUAUAAAAGAAGAAAUGGGUUACAUUAAAAAUAUUUUUGGAUAAUUUUUAUUAUUAAAAAUUUAAAUUUGGAUUUGAAAGUAAAUUUAAUUAAUUAAUUAAAUUGAUUUUAGCUCUAAAAUAUGUACAUAUCGCCCGUCGCUUUCAUUUAAUAUGAAAUAAGUCGUAACAAAGUAGAUUAACUGGAAAGUGAAUCUAGAAUAUC